CUUCUCCCAGCUGUCUGUCUGUGAAGAGUGACCCUUCUCCCAGCUGUCUGUCUGUGAAGAGUGACCCUUCUCCCAGCUGUCUGUCUGUGAAGAGGGACCCUUCUCCCAGCUGUCUGUCUGUGAAGAGGGACCCUUCUCCCAGCUGUCUGUCUGUGAAUAGUGACAGCUCCAAAUCCCUUGGCCCCAACUUCAGAGAUGACCCUGAACCAAGUGCCGUUUUGCAGAUCAAGGAGCUGCUGGAUCCUGCCUCCAAAUGUCAGACCUGGUUAGAUGGCUGCAAUCAGUAUUGCUGAUGAUCUGAAAAUAUUCAUACAUCAUACAUACAUCUUCUUCCGCUUCAUCCGGGGCCGGGUCGCGGGGGCAGCAGUCUAAGCAGGGAUGCCCAGACUUCCCUCUCCCCAGACACUUCCUCCAGCUCUUCCGGGGGGACACCGAGGCGUUCCCAGGCCAGCCGGGAGACAUAGUCCCUCCAGCGUGUCCUAGGUCUUCCCCGGGGUCUCCUCCCGGUGGGACGGGCCCGGAACAUCUUCCCAGGAAGGCGUUCCGGAGGCAUCUGAAACAGAUGCCCAAGCCACCUCAGCUGACCCCUCUUGAUGUGGAGGAGCAGCGGCUCUACUCUGAGUUCCUCCCGGGUGACCGAGCUUCUCACCCUAUCUCUAAGGGAUCGCCCAGCCACCCUGCGGAGAAAGCUCAUUUCGGCCGCCUGUAUCCGGGAUCUUGUCCUUUUGGUCAUGACCCAAAGCUCAUGACCAUAGGUGAGAGUAGGAACGUAGAUUGACCGGUAAAUCGAGAGCUUCGCCUUGCGGCUCAGCUCUUUCUUCACCACGAGAGACCGAUACAUCGACCGCAUUACUGCAGAAGCUGCACCAAUCCGUCUGUCAAUCUCCUGUUCCAUCCUUCCCUCACUCGUGAACAAGACCCCUAGAUACUUAAACUCCUCCACUUGAGGCAGGCACUCUCCACCAACCUGAAGUGGGCAAGCCACCCUUUUUCCGACUGAGGACCAUGGCCUCGGAUUUGGAGGUACAUCCCCACCGCUUCACACUCGGCUGCAAACCGUCCCAGUGCAUGCUGAAGGUCCUGGUUUGAAGGGGCCAACACGACAACAUCAUCCGCAAAGAGCAGAGACGAAAUCGUGUGGUCCCCAAACCUGACACCCUCCGGCCCCUGGCUGCGCCUAGAAAUUCUGUCCAUAAAAACCCUGUGUCCCUCGCAGCAUCCUGUGGAGAGUGCUUCGGGAAUAUGGGGUCCUGGGUCCUUUGCUAAGGGCUGUCAGGUCCCUGUACGACCGAAGCAGGAGUUUGGUCCGCAUUGCCGGCAGUAAGUCAGACUUGUUCCCAGUGCAUGUUGGACUCCGGCAGGGCUGCCCUUUGUCGCCGGUUCUGUUCAUAAUUUAGAAAUAUUCAAAUUAUUGUAAUACAUUUAGCUUUUAUGGACAAAUUUGAAUAUAGUUUUAGGAAAAAAAAUUACAACCAUAGUAGGAUCUUUCUUUUAUUUAAUGUUAUUUACUUUUUUUACUGUUAUAUGUAAGUACUUAUUUUUUUUGUCAUAUUUUCUCAAUUUCAUAGAAACAUUCUGUUGUUACCAGUUUUCUUUUUUUAUUAUAAAGCUUCUUGGCAAUAAUGUGCA
This is a long non-coding RNA of Esox lucius (northern pike), 1629 nucleotides long. The record is from Ensembl. Lineage: Eukaryota; Metazoa; Chordata; Actinopteri; Esociformes; Esocidae.